Molecule: ribosomal RNA, 92 nt
Filed under: Aureoumbra lagunensis
Lineage: Eukaryota; Pelagophyceae; Sarcinochrysidales; Sarcinochrysidaceae
Source: RNAcentral
GUAAAUAAAUUGAAAACUACACGAAAUCUUAUCGAACUCAAAAAAGUUAACUUCAAUUUUACCAAAAAUACUCUUUAGGGAACCAUGGUUUG